UCCUCGCUGCUUGACCACGUGACGCGUGACGACAGUCACAACAACAACACGUGCAGGUCCUGCAGAUGAUUUAGUCUUAAAAGCUGUCAGUGUCACUUUGACAGCACAUCUUUCAGCUCACCUGCAAACAAAACCGACACACAGUCUGAUAAAACCGAGGGUCACGCGACUCACCUAAGAAGUGAUGUGUUGUUGGUUGGAAGCAGAGCUCUGGACGUGUGGACAGAUGUUGACUGUAAUGAUGGACAUCUGCUCAUGGACAGUGUGUCCAAAAGUAUAACCGCUGCGGGUCACAGUGCUGGAAGCUCCAGGGGAGACCGUACUGAUAUCCCCCUUCUUCAGGCGCGCCUUCACACACACUCCUCCAUUCACUCGUAUCGCAGAGACCUGGCUGGGAUUGAACCAGCAACCUCUGAACCGUGAGGCAGCGCUCUUACCUGCGAGCCACAGAUCUCUUGCUGGAGCACCUGAAGGAACUUAUAUUUGACUGUUUACCUGUGAUUACCCAAUAAAGAAGUUAAAAUAAGCUGGGUAUAUGAUUUUUGGAGGUGGGAUUUGAACUCACAUCUCCAUCACAGUCUCAUCCUCAGAGAACAUGUGUUUAUCCACUAACCCAUCAUGGAUUUCAUGCUGUGUUUUAGUGACUUUGUUGGCUGAGUUGGAUUUAAAGUAAGCAAUUGUGGGAUUUGAACUCAGAGCUCCUGAAUUAAAACAAAGAGCUUUAUCUCCUGAUCAACUGAGUCUGUCGAGUCAUUUAGCAUUUCGAACAGGUUUUUAUUGAGAGAUUUGUUCUAAACAAUGAAUAAUGACCAUGAGGUUUGAACCAGGAUUUUCAUGUUUGAGAUUGAAGCCUUCAACCACUGAGCCACAGAAGCAGUGAUGAUAUUUUGUUGCUGUUUUUACAGUCAUUUAAAUUUUAAGUUUAUUAUACUCGAUUGUAAUUCACAAAACUCACCACAACGUGUCUGAGUCUACUCUGAACCAAGACUAACGAACGCCCUCCUGUGGUGUUUUUUGUGCAUUGCUAUUUUAGCUCAUUGUUUGUGUGUGAUUUUGUUCUGUCCUCUUCUACUAAAACAAACUGAAGUGCAAAAAAAGUCAGAGGACCUAAAGCAGGCCCUCAUGUGGUGAUUUUUGGGAAUUACACCGCUGCAAAUUGAGUCUAAUGAACUUAAACAGGAAUUUGUACUGUUCUGUCUGUUCAUGUUAAAAUACAUCUAUAAAAAAUCUAACAUUUUUCACGAAUAGCAGAAUGAGAGAAACUGAAGUGCGGUUUUUCAUCCGCUCCACGAGGCGGCGCAAGCGGGUUUCAGCUUCAGUCUGACACCUUCGACUGCGUGACAACACGACGCUCGAGUCACAACAACAACAACACGUGCGGAUCCUGCAGAUGAGAGCUGUCAAUGUCAGUUUAACAACAUGUUUUUCAGCUAAUCUGCAAAUAAAUCCGACACACGGUCCGAUGAAACGCUGGACUCGAGUGUGACGCGACUCACCUAAGAAGUGAUGUGUUGUUGGUUGGAAGCAGAGCUCUGGACGUGUGGACAGAUGUUGACUGUAAUGAUGGACAUCUGCUCAUGGACAGCGUGUGCAAAAGUAUAACCACCACUGCGGGUCACAGUGCUGGAAGCUCCAGGGGGAGACCGUACUGAUAUCCCCCUUCUUCAGGCGCGCCUUCACACACACUCCUCCA
Cyprinus carpio (common carp) is the source of this 1693-nucleotide long non-coding RNA. RefSeq lists it as uncharacterized. The record is from RefSeq and is a predicted model, not a curated record. Lineage: Eukaryota; Metazoa; Chordata; Actinopteri; Cypriniformes; Cyprinidae.